AUAAUUGAGAGUUUGAUCCUGGCUCAGAACGAACACUGGCGGCGUGCCUAACACAUGCAAGUCGAACGACGAACUGCGUAUUUUUGUCGCAAGAUAAAAAAAUGCAGGGAAAGUGGCAAAUGGGUGAGUAAUAUCUGGGUAAUUUACCCUUUAGAGGAGCACAAUCUGCUGAAAGGCGGAAUAAUUCUCCGUAAGACCCCGAAGACGCAUGUCUUUGCGGUAAAAGACAACCUUAAAAAUUGUCGCUAAAGGAGAAACCGAGAUUCCAUUAGCUAGUUGGUAAGGUAAUGGCUUACCAAGGCAAUGAUGGAUAGCUGGUCUGAGAGGAUGAUCAGCCACAUUGGGAUUGAGAGACAGCCCAGACUCCUACGGGAGGCAGCAGUGGGGAAUUUUGGACAAUGAGCGAAAGCCUGAUCCAGCGACGCCGCGUGGGUGAUGAAGGUCUUCGGAUUGUAAAACCCUGUCGAGUGGGAUGAAGUCCAACACAUUUUUAUGCGUUGGAUUGACAUUACCACCAGAGGAAGUCCCGGCUAACCCCGUGCCAGCAGCCGCGGUAAGACGGGGGGGGCAAGUGUUGUUCGGAAUGACUGGGUGUAAAGGGCAUGUAGAUGGUUGGGUAAGUCAGAUAUGAAAUCCCUUGGCUCAACUAAGGAAUUGUAUCUGAAACUAUUCGACUAGAGUUUGGGAGGGGAGAGCGGAACUCCCGGUGUAGCGGUGGAAUGCGUAGAUAUCGGGAGGAACACCAGUGGCGAAGGCGGCUCUCUAGUCCAAAACUGACAUCAAAAUGCGAAGGCUAGGGGAGCAAACAGGAUUAGAUACCCUGGUAGUCCUAGCAGUAAACGAUGGGUAUUAGACAUUGGCCCGUAAGGGUUAGUGUCGUAGCUAACGCGUUAAAUACCUCACCUGGGGAGUACGGUCGCAAGGCUGAAACUCAAAGGAAUUGACGGGGGCCCGCACAAGCGGUGGAGUAUGUGGUUUAAUUCGACGAUACGCGAAGAACCUUACCGGGGUUUGACAUCCCAGGAAUCUGUCCGAAAGGAUGGAGUGCUCGUAAGAGAACCUGGAGACAGGUGGUGCAUGGCUGUCGUCAGCUCGUGUUGUGAAAUGUAUGGUUAAGUCCCGCAACGAGCGCAACCCUUAUCCUUAGUUACCUCCGUAAGGAGGAUUCUCUAGGGAGACUGCCUCGAAUAACGGGGAGGAAGGCGGGGAUGACGUCAAGUCCUCAUGCCCCUUAUAUCCCGGGCUACACACGUACUACAAUGGUCUGUACAAUGGGAAGCAAGACCGCAAGGUGGAGCAAAUCUCAAAAAGCAGACCCCAGUUCAGAUUGAGGGCUGCAACUCGCCCUCAUGAAGGUGGAAUCGCUAGUAACCGCAGAUCAGCUAUGCUGCAGUGAAUACGUUCCCGGGCCUUGUACACACCGCCCGUCACGUCAGCUGAAUCGAAUGUACUCGAAGUCACUAUUUUCCUUUUCGGAGAGCAAUCUUUGGAAAGGGGAGAGGUGCCGAAGGUAUGUUUGGUAAGGAGGACGAAGUCGUAACAAGGCAGCCGUACCGGAAGGUGCGGCUGGAUCACCUCCUUU
Molecule: non-coding RNA, 1582 nt
Organism: Candidatus Omnitrophica bacterium CG1_02_41_171
Lineage: Bacteria; Pseudomonadati; Candidatus Omnitrophota
Source: Rfam